Molecule: long non-coding RNA, 1588 nt
Filed under: Rhopalosiphum maidis (corn leaf aphid)
Lineage: Eukaryota; Metazoa; Arthropoda; Insecta; Hemiptera; Aphididae
Description: uncharacterized LOC113558879
Source: RNAcentral
AAUCCAAUCAGAAUAUACCUGAAGUAUAUAUUGAUUUGAGUAGUCAUUUAAAAAAUACACUUAUUGAAGAUUUGGGAAACAAUGAUUAUAAUAAUUCUUAUUUAAGAUUAGACUUUUUAGAAGAUUGUUCAAUAUCAAAUUAUCAAUCCUUUCAUCAAAUGUUAAGUGUGGAACUAGAAGUGGAUAAUUUCAAUAUCAUGAAUGUAUGGCACAUUUAUGUACUGUUGUAAAAUACUUAACUUCAGAAAACAUGAUUGGCAGUAUAAAAAAACUUAAUGUGGAUAUGCUAAAAUGGAUGAAUAAUUUAAAACUAGUAUUCUACGAUAAUUCAACUGACACAAUAAAUUCAAAAAUAUUGCUCAUAAAAUUAAUAAUUAAUUGUGAAACUAAUUUUGAACCAUAUGCGAAACACUGGCUUAGUCCUAUAAUGCAAUUUGUAUUAGAUAAACAUCUUGGGAAUAAUUUAAAUUAUUUUAUAAUUGAUGUGGUAUCAAUGCUUGUUUUGUGGCAUAAUAGUGCAGUUCCUUCCACAGAAAAUGAGAAACUCCUAGCUAAAAAGUUAUUUUCUUUUUUUUUAUCAGUUUCCCAUAGUGAAAUAUAAAAUAUAUUUAAGCACAACAUGGAAUAUAUUAAAUUUAUUAUUGAAAGUUGGAAAUGCUCACUAGAAAUGGAUUAUGAUGAACUUUUGUCUUUAAUAAAACCAAAUCAAAUAAAUAAUAAAUUACCAGAAUGUGGUUUACAUUUAAUUGGAAUCUUAUCUGCCAAUGGUAUUACACCAUUCAAUAAAUUAAAUAAAAAAAAGUUUUAUAAGUUUGCUUAUGGAAAGCUUAAAACAUAAUAAUCAAGUGAUUUAUGUGCUUAGUUCAGAAAUAUUUGAAAUGCUGUUAAAGUAAUUAUAAAAAUUGUAUACAGGAUCCAGCAAUAAAUUUACCUGUAUUUCAAAAGGCAGUUACAAAAAAACAAAAGAAAUCCUUUUAUUUGCAAUUAUAUUAAAUCAUUUUACAUUGCAGGAUUUUAAAGAUCUUGUUUAGUAAAUAGCAUCCUCCAUUGUUGACACAUUGAUAAAGCUUUAUAUAUGGGAGGCUUUUUGCUGAAUUCUGUACCUACUAUAGAUAAUGAAUCUAUUUUAUAAAUGUAUUCUUUUUUCACGGAAUCUAUUAUGAAAAUUCAAUAAAUGAAAUGGAAUUGUUACAGUGUCUGUCCUCAGUUUUAACUUUUAUUACUGAAAGUAUGGAUGCAACAAAAGUUUUAAGUUGUCUGUAUUAUAUUCAUAAGUAUUACUCAAAGAUUAUUGAUAGGUAAUAAAUAUUAUUGGUAUUAUAUAUUAUAGUUAUUACACAGGCGUAUUUGAAAUGUCUUAUCGGGGGGUGGGGGAGAACAAGCAAAAUUUCAAAUUUGUGUACAUGGGCGUAGAGUUAUAAAAUAUCUCAUAUAAUGAAAAUACGGUGAACGAUGGGGGCACGGACCCCAUGGGCCCCCUCCCUUAAAUAUGCCCCUGAGUUAUUACAACAAAAGAUAUUUUUAUUAUAAUUAUUUAUUAGUUUUAUAAUGUAUACACAAAAUGUAUUCAUCUUUUGAUUUAUUUGUA